Neofelis nebulosa (Clouded leopard) is the source of this 1005-nucleotide long non-coding RNA. RefSeq lists it as uncharacterized. Lineage: Eukaryota; Metazoa; Chordata; Mammalia; Carnivora; Felidae. The record is from RefSeq and is a predicted model, not a curated record. The transcript is spliced from 3 exons.
GCACACAGCAGGUCAAGGAUCUCAGGACCCAGGCUGGACUAGUUCUGUUGCAGCAGGAAGAGUUCCCUGGACCUCCUUUCCUCUUUUCAGUCUCAGGCACUGUUUCCAACAGGAAAGUCUGGAGAGACCGCUUUCCUUUCCAAAGGGCAGUCUGCCCAGGGGCAAAGGCGGGCUUGCCAGCCUGUACCUGCCGCUGUUCGGGGAGACGAAAACCACUGUAGAGCUUUCUUGUUUGAAGUGCCGCGUGCUCAUCUCGGCUGUCAGUGUUCCUAGACUGCUUCUGUGGACUUAGAGCUGACCUUUAGAGGAUGACAUUUGAGCACGCAGAGCCGAGCUUCCUGUGCAAAGUACAAUGAGUUCGUGACUGUGUCCAGAGCUACAGACAUUCCUAUUUGUCCGUGAGUUGCAUGACUAAUGCGCUUGGCCUCGUUAAGAAUGAAGUGGGCACAUGAGAACGUUUUCAAGGACAUCAGCCGGUGCUGCUUGGACAGAGGAGAGCCACUAGUGAAAACACCCCAAGGCUUCUUCCUGGUGCAGGGCAGACCCUGGUUAAAUCAUUCCAGUGAUCCAUGGUGGUAGAUGGAGUUUGGAGGUACCAGUAAAUUCCUGGUUCAGUAGUGCCGUGUGGCUGCAUCACCGUGUUCCGGAAGAUGGCUUGUAAGGAGAAGUGAGAUACACAACUUCCAAGUUGGGCCCUGAAAAGAAAGUAGCGUGACAUCUCACUUCAUUUUCCUUCUUCCUGUGGCUGGAAUGGAAAAGUGAUGGUGGGAACUUGGGCAGCUCUUUUGGACCACAAACAGAAAGCAGGCGGGCGGGGGCACCUGGGGUCCUCAAUGGGUUAGGCCUCGACUUCAGCCUCCGGUCAUGAUUUCACGGUUUAUGAGUUCCGGCCCCACGUUGGGCUCUGGUGCUGACAACUCAGAGCCUGGAGCCUGCUUCAGAUUCUGUGUCGUCCUCUCUCUCUCUCUCUCUCUCUGCCCCUCCCCUGCUCAUGCUCUGUCUCUC